AGUGAACGCUGGCGGUAGGCCUAACACAUGCAAGUCGAACGGCAGCACAGUAAGAGCUUGCUCUUACGGGUGGCGAGUGGCGGACGGGUGAGGAAUACAUCGGAAUCUACUUUUUCGUGGGGGAUAACGUAGGGAAACUUACGCUAAUACCGCAUACGUCCCACGGGUGAAAGUAGGGGAUCUUCGGACCUUGCGCGAUUGAAUGAGCCGAUGUCGGAUUAGCUAGUUGGCGGGGCAAAGGCCCACCAAGGCGACGAUCCGUAGCUGGUCUGAGAGGAUGAUCAGCCACACUGGAACUGAGACACGGUCCAGACUCCUACGGGAGGCAGCAGUGGGGAAUAUUGGACGAUGGGCGCAAGCCUGAUCCAGCCAUACCGCGUGGAGGAAGAAGGCCUUCGGGUUGUAAAGCCCUUUUGUUGGGAAAGAAAAGCAGCAGGUUAAUACCCCGCUGUUCUGACGGUACCGAAAGAAUAAGCACCGGCUAACUUCGUG
Molecule: ribosomal RNA, 492 nt
Filed under: uncultured bacterium
Lineage: Bacteria
Description: partial 16S ribosomal RNA
Rfam family: Bacterial small subunit ribosomal RNA
Source: RNAcentral